This 468-nucleotide ribosomal RNA is filed under the name uncultured bacterium. RNAcentral describes it as "partial 16S ribosomal RNA". It matches the Rfam family "Bacterial small subunit ribosomal RNA", at positions 28 to 507 of the family's 1533-position model. The record is from RNAcentral.
GACGAACGCUGGCGGCGUGCUUAACACAUGCAAGUCGAACGGAAAGGCCCUGCUUUUGUGUGGUGCUCGAGUGGCGAACGGGUGAGUAACACGUGAGUAACCUGCCCUUGACUUUGGGAUAACUUCAGGAAACUGGGGCUAAUACCGGAUAGGAGCUCCUGCUGCAUGGUGGGGGUUGGAAAGUUUCGGCGGUUGUGGAUGGACUCGCGGCUUAUUAGCUUGUUGGUGGGGUAGUGGCUUACCAAGGCUUUGACGGGUAGCCGGCCUGAGAGGGGGACCGGCCACAUUGGGACUGAGAUACGGCCCAGAGUCCUACGGGAGGCAGCAGUGGGGAAUAUUGCACAAUGGGCGGAAGCCUGAUGAAGCAACGCCGCGUGCGGGAUGACGGCCUUCGGGUUGUAAACCGCUUUAGCCUGUGACGAAGCGUGAGUGACGGUAAUGGGUAAAGAAGCACCGGCUAACUACGUG